UACGAAGGGGGCUAGCGUUGUUCGGAAUUACUGGGCGUAAAGCGUGCGCAGGCGGCUUCUCAAGUCAGGGGUGAAAGCCCAGAGCUCAACUCUGGAAUUGCCUUUGAGACUGAGUGGCUUGAGUACGGGAGAGGUGAGUGGAAUUCCCAGUGUAGAGGUGAAAUUCGUAGAUAUCGGGAGGAACACCAGUGGCGAAGGCGGCUUCCUGGACCGGUUCUGACACUGAGGAGCGAAAGCGUGGGGAGCGAUCCGG
Molecule: ribosomal RNA, 253 nt
Filed under: uncultured bacterium
Lineage: Bacteria
Description: partial 16S ribosomal RNA
Rfam family: Bacterial small subunit ribosomal RNA
Source: RNAcentral